Molecule: long non-coding RNA, 1105 nt
Organism: Oreochromis aureus
Lineage: Eukaryota; Metazoa; Chordata; Actinopteri; Cichliformes; Cichlidae
Source: Ensembl
GUGAGGUUGUGCUGAAAACAAUGAUACCAAACACGGCAAAGUAAAUCGUUUUUAAAGGUGAAAUGUAGACGAAACAUCAAAAGUAGUUAAAAAUGGCCAAUUACACCCUGGACCCCAGAGGGUUAAACUUUUUUUUUUUGUUUAAGUAAUGCAAUAGUUACUUUUCAAGUAAUUAAUUACUUUUAGAAUAUUGUAACUCAGUUACAAUAUUCUAACAGUUUUUUGAAGAAGUAACUAGUAACUAUAAUUAAUUACUUUUUCAAAGUAACUUGCCCAACACUGGUCCCUAACAAUAUAUCAAUCAUAAAAUUUGAAGGUAUAGAACCUCAUUUGGUUUUUCUGCUCCAUGCCAGUGCCUUCACAGUCUCUUCUGUAGAGCAGCCAGGUGGUAACGAUGAUCAUGUCCAGAAAGUGGAACACCAGCUGGUGGUACCAUGUCUUGAAUCUAACUGCGGUAGAGUGCAAUCAGUGAGUCAAGCAGGUCCACCCCAACCAUAGUCUUGUUAUAUUCUUGCACCACAGCAGGGCAGGGGACAGUGAUGUGUUUCUUCUGCUUGCAAUUCCACCUGUUAUGAUAAUAAUAGUCUGUCUGAAGAACGAGAGACAGAUUUUAUGUUAUAAGCUUCAUGUUAUGGAUGCACAGUGUGAGCACUUAAUAAAGUGUAAGUGUUUUUUCUCCCACUGUUGCAAAAGUGGUUGCUGAAAGAGGGUCGUCUGAAUGUUUCUCCAUGAAGCACAUUGAGGUAAAUGUUGUUGGGGCUCCUCCUGUGAUGAUGAGGAGCUCCUCCUGUGAUGAUGAUGAUGAUGAGGAACUCUUCCUGUGUUGAUGAUGAGGAGCUCCUCCUGUGAUGAUGAUGAUGAUGAGGAACUCUUCCUGUGUUGAUGAAGAGGAGCUCCUACUGUGCUGAUGUUGCUCUGUUUAAUGUAGGAGGUCGGGGAGCAGACCUGUGGAGCUGUGGGGGUGACAGCUGAGACGGAGCGUCUACCUCUGCUUUUCAGGCCUGUUUCUGCUGACUGCUGCAGGUGUGUGUGUGCUGCUGCUGUCCUCUCUGGCUGUUCCUACAGAUCUUCCUCCAAACUGGGACCUAAUGACGAACAUUCCUUC